UUCCGGUUGUCCAAAGACCGGGGUUACUGAAGAGGCACACCAUCAUUGCCGACAGUGCGGACGGGGCUCCCUUCCAAAGCUGAGGCAGACAAAGCGAGCGCCGGCUGAACAGCCGUCACUCAUCGCCGCGCAAAGCGGGUUCCUGGUACCGG
Mesorhizobium sp. is the source of this 152-nucleotide regulatory RNA element. It matches the Rfam family "speF leader". Rfam says of the family: This family is a putative regulatory RNA structure that is found upstream of the speF gene encoding ornithine decarboxylase in Agrobacterium tumefaciens and other alpha-proteobacteria. NCBI's taxonomy places the organism in Bacteria, Pseudomonadati, Pseudomonadota, Alphaproteobacteria, Hyphomicrobiales, Phyllobacteriaceae. The record is from Rfam.